Molecule: ribosomal RNA, 408 nt
Filed under: Scotinotylus sp. A LT-2015
Lineage: Eukaryota; Metazoa; Arthropoda; Arachnida; Araneae; Linyphiidae
Description: partial 16S ribosomal RNA
Source: RNAcentral
AUUAUCAUAAGUAAGAUCUGCUCCAUGUGUAAUAAAUACCCGCAGAAUUUUAACUGUGCUAAGGUAGCAUAAUCAUUUACCUUUUAAUUAAAGGUUUGUAUGAACGAUCUUACAUUUAAAUUCCUUUUUUAUAAAAUUCUAUUAAACUUAAAUUAAAAAUAAAAAUGUUUUUAUAAAAAAAAAAGACGAUAAGACCCUGUUGAACUUUACUAAUGUUUAGCUGGGGCAGCUAAUUAAAUAUAAUUUUGAUUAAUAAUAAUAACAAACCACCUAAUAAAAUUAUUAUUAACAAGUUACCAUAGGGAUAACAGCGUAAUAUAAUUUCAAAGCUCAUAUUUAAAAUUAAGUUUACGACCUCGAUGUUGAAUUAAAGUCUCUUCAAUCCGCAAUAGUUUGAAAGAAGUCUGU